RNAcentral lists this ribosomal RNA (700 nucleotides) under uncultured Flavobacterium sp. RNAcentral's name for it is "bacterial SSU rRNA". It matches the Rfam family "Bacterial small subunit ribosomal RNA", at positions 54 to 756 of the family's 1533-position model. The record is from RNAcentral. Lineage: Bacteria; Pseudomonadati; Bacteroidota; Flavobacteriia; Flavobacteriales; Flavobacteriaceae.
CAAUGCAAGUCGAGGGGUAUAAGUCUUCGGAUUUAGAGACCGGCGCACGGGUGCGUAACGCGUAUGCAAUCUACCUUUCACAAAGGGAUAGCCCAGAGAAAUUUGGAUUAAUACCUUAUAGUAUAAUUGAAUGGCAUCAUUUAAUUAUUAAAGAUUUAUCGGUGAAAGAUGAGCAUGCGUCCCAUUAGCUAGUUGGUAUGGAACGGCAUACCAAGGCUACGAUGGGUAGGGGUCCUGAGAGGGAGAUCCCCCACACUGGUACUGAGACACGGACCAGACUCCUACGGGAGGCAGCAGUGAGGAAUAUUGGACAAUGGGCGCAAGCCUGAUCCAGCCAUGCCGCGUGCAGGAUGACGGUCCUAUGGAUUGUAAACUGCUUUUGCACAGGAAGAAACACUCGGACGUGUCCGAGCUUGACGGUACUGUGAGAAUAAGGAUCGGCUAACUCCGUGCCAGAGCCGCGGUAAUACGGAGGAUCCAAGCGUUAUCCGGAAUCAUUGGGUUUAAAGGGUCCGUAGGCGGUCUUAUAAGUCAGUGGUGAAAUCUCCCCGCUCAACGGGGAAACGGCCAUUGAUACUGUAAGACUUGAAAUAUUAGGAAGUAACUAGAAUAUGUAGUGUAGCGGUGAAAUGCUUAGAGAUUACAUGGAAUACCAAUUGCGAAGGCAGGUUACUACUAAUGGAUUGACGCUGAUGAUUGA